Molecule: long non-coding RNA, 1279 nt
Organism: Mugil cephalus (flathead mullet)
Lineage: Eukaryota; Metazoa; Chordata; Actinopteri; Mugiliformes; Mugilidae
Exons: 5
Source: RefSeq, a predicted model, not a curated record
ACUGGGAUGACUUUACACCGAAUCAGUCUGUUCAUGUCACCUCAAAGACAGCAACAAUUACUUGUAAUUAUCCCCACGUCUUUGAGAACCAUAAAAAAUUUCUGUGCAAGGGGAAGACUCCUUUUAAGUGUGUUGAUUUAAUAAAUGCAACUGAACCGGAGAGAGAUAUAACUAAAGGCAGGUUCCAUAUCAGGGAUAAUAAAAGAACGAAGUCUUUCUAUGUGAACAUCUCUGAGCUGAGCACAGCUGACUCUGGAACGUACUGGUGUCACUGUGGCAGAACAACGCAGCCACAUGAAUACACCAAAAUACUACUUUCUGUAGGUGGAACCAGGAUGGGAGGCCCUCCUGAACCACAAAAUGUACUAGAUGAGAUGCAGAGUACUACAGAGCAUGAAACUAAACCUCUAACCACAGGUGUGAUUGUUGGUACAGUGGUGCGUCUGGCAUCAUUAGUGGUAGCUGUGGCCACACUAAUACUGUUCAGAAGGAAACUAAUCAGGUUUACAGGCGAAUCAUCAGAGCAGAGGACGGACACUGGGUGAAACACAGGGAAAUAAUGGAGAUUAACAUUACCACGGUUUAGAGAUAUUAGAAAUACAGUUGCAGAACCAGCCAGUGACGAUGGAGCACGCUGUUAUGGAUUUGAAUGUUUCCUCUACAGAAAUACGCCCAAGAACAGGAGGAGCAAUGUUCCCCAGCUUUGAACUAAUCAUGCAUAUGGAUAUGGACUAUGAGAGCUGACAACUGCUUUAAAUCAGUCCUUCUCUGUAAAAACAGGCUCGCAUAAUGGUUUGAUGCGCUACUUAACUCAUGUUAUCAGGAAACCAUACUCACAUAAAUAACCACUCAGAGGAAGAAAGUACCUGGUGUUGGUUUCAUUUUAACCACUGAUUCGGGGUUGUUGUUCUGUUUCCAUUUCAUGAGUCAAGUUUAUUUUUGCAGCUUCUAUGACCUUUUCUUUGAACAGGUGCAAUGCAUUUGUAGGGUAAACUAAGGCCCUCACAGUCCUAUAUUAUUCAUCAGUUGACUGUAACAUGCUUCACUAAAGCUCAAACUAAUUAUGUACACUAGCGACAAUGAAUGCAUGUCCUUCAGCAGUCCUACACCAAACCUUGGUUGCAUUAAUAAAUAACUUAAAUAACUGAAAGAAGUGUUGAUUUUAGAGUUGUGAUUUGUAGUACUGUUGAAUUAUUAUAUAACAGAAACACUUAAUUAACCAGCACCUCAAACUGUGUCCUCUAAAAUGGUCAUCCACAUGAAUCACCACCUUUCUGAU